GGAGCAGCCGCAGCCGCCGUUUCGGGGAGGGUCGGGCUGCCGUCCCGCCCCGGCCCAGCGGCAGCGCUCGCGUCCCAGCGUCUAUUGAAAUCACGUAGUCGCGAUACGUACAAAUAUAUACGUGUUCACGUGUGUGCGCAGGCAUAUAUAUCUUCUUAAAAAAUAGAAUCUUCUCACGGGCAAACCAACCGUACCUGUUCCUGGGCUCGAGGUGACGCGCUCUGAGGCGACGUGAGGCAAAAUGGCGGCUGCGCGCCCACCUGCAGCCGCGCCAGGCUCUGGUGCGGGGCUCUGCCCGAUGAGGCAUUUCUCACCCGCAGCCGAAAUACCGCAGGGGCCUUUCCUUCCCUCCUUGGGGGAGGAUGAGGGCCUGAGGGUCGAGAGGGGUCCAGCAGGAGUCCGGGCCCUGCUGCUCACCCUCAUGGGGCGGGGGGGAAGGCUGAUGGCAGCGGAUGAAGAAGGGGAGGAGAGCGGGAGCUGAUGGCAGCCCUGUGCCUUGCUCAGUCGUUCUCCACCGUUGUUGAUCCAGCCAAGGGGCUCUGUCCCUCUGCUGUCCUCUCAUGCGUGGUGCAGUCCAGAGUAUUGGUGGUGGGAGGCCCCGGGGACGUGAGGGAUUCACGACUGUGGCGCGGUGCCGGCUGUGGAGGCAGUGGUGGAGGGAUGGAGGGAGCUCCCAGCCGUCGCGGCCGGGCCUUGGGGCUGGCGGUGUGCUCAGGGAUCGUGCUCCGGGCUUGGGCUACAGGAGGCGGCCCUGUGGGUCGGGAUGGAGCUGGGCGCUUGCCUGGAAAGAGAGCAGAUGGAGGUCAUGAUGUGCGUCUCAGGUAGGGUGGAGGACAAGAUGCCCCUUGCCUAGCUAAUGUAGCGGAGCCCCAUGUGGGUCAGACAGAGUACAUCCCACUCUUUGGGGUCUUUUCCCACCCUCUUCAGUUCGCAGUGAGACUUGAGCUUUGAAUGGAGUGCUUCCCAUCCCAGAGUCCCACCUUGGCUGGGGAUGGAGAGCAGAAAGCGAGGGGACAGAUUGAGGCCCUUCUCCCAUGUGGGCCCUUGUACCCUAUCUUGCAGGACGUGGUGAGAUAAGGAUAAACUGGAGAAGGUGGAUGUGUCUGCCCUGUAGGCUUCUCCCAAGCACUGUGCCUUCAUGUCCUAACCUUUGCGGGCGGUGUCACUGGCUGGUGUUGGAGCUGGUGGCACUGCGGCUUCAGGGGAUGGCUUGGUCACCACUGGGGAAAGUGGCUGGGAGCUCACUUCGGAGUCAUUUGUGCUGGAGGAGAAGGGGACAGUCGGGGUGUUCAGAUGAUGGUUAGAACCAGCACCACAGAGCAUGGCGGUCCUGGCCUUGCAGCCUGUGGGGUGGGGUGGAAUAGAGGUCAGGAGCCCCCUGCUCCUGCCAGACUUACGCCUCUUCGUCCAGGGGAGAUGGAGAGCAGGCUGGGGGGGAUUUGGGAGGCAGCUCAUCUACCGGGGCAAUCUCAUUGAGUCUUACAUCCGCAGGCAGUGUGAACAUCCCUGAGACGUUGAAAUCUAUCUCUGCAUGGGGAGAAAGGCCAAGAAGUGCUAAUGGCACCCCUGCUAGACGCUGAGCAUGCCCCAGGAGCAGACUCCACAGCAAGGAACUGCAGCUGCCUGGGAUGCUCUUCAUCCAUUCUGCUGCUAUUUGUGGUGCUUUUCCUGUUUGCCUUCACCUUCUGCUAUGGUCCCCAAAGGUGGAAAGACAGAGUGAAAGCCUACCUCCAGGGAAGAUUAUGUCUGCGUUCUGGAUGAGGGCUUCCACAACUCCCACCACCUGAAUGGAGGAGACUGAGGCCAAGUCCAGUUGCACAGGAUCUCUGAGAGGCAGAGGUGGGAGACCCAUCAGGGAAGCAGUUAUGGGAAUUAACCCAUUUUAUGUUAAGUCUGGAGGAGUAAAGCCCAAAAAGAGGGACUGCCUCUCUCCAGAAAACCUGCAACCCAGCCAGACCUCACCCUGUGCUCUGCUCUGGCCACAGCAGGUUGGGGCCCAGCACUAUGGCGAUGUUGCUGGGGGUCAUUUUAUUCACGUUCUGGUGCUCUGCCAGCUUGGCUAAAAACUUGAUCAGAUACCUACAGGGUAAAAGGAGGACAAGGAGACAGUGAGUGCACCCUUAGGAAGGGAUCGGCUGCCCCUGGUGAAUGCUUGGGAUCAAAGAAGCCCCAUCCCACAGAAACACCUCAAAUUGUUGUAGCUGUCCUGGGGCAGGCGGCUGCAGGUGUCUCUCAGGCUCUGUACGCGGUCGCCAAUGUCCUUUAAGCUGCAGAAGAGAGAAAAAGAGAGCUCAGACUGCUUUGCAGGACAAAGAUGGACAUGGUGUAUGAGGUAGAAGGGCUGAUGAUGUUCAUGAUGGGCACUGCUGUAUCUUUUUCACUACUCCUCCCACCCCCCGAAGUGAGAGGCCAAACAGCUGCUGGGCUGUUGGGCUUGUGAGCCCUGACCCACCUGGCCACUUUGAUCCAUUCAUCGUAGAGCUUGAAGGUCAUCAGAGGCUCAGGCAGCUCCCGCAGGUAGGAUUUUAAUGCGCCUGGAGAUGGAAUGGGGAGGUGAUGGAGGCUGGGGGACAGCAGUACCACCUGCCCCCCAUAUCCCUGCCCCAUGUCAUCGCACCCACCGGCCACGGCAUGGGGGUCCGAGUAAAACUCCUCCAGGGCAUUAGAGCCACUGGCCAAGCUGCUCUUCAGCUUCCUUAGCACCGAGGCACCUGCUGCCAGGCGGAAGAGUCCCUGGGGAUGGAACGAAGGGAUGCAGGGUGCUGUGAAGUGUUUUUAGGGAGUGUAGGAUGGUGUGGGCUGCCUACCUCUUCCUUCAUGCCUGAGGCCAGCAGCAUCAUGACACAGGCCUCGAUAGGUAGAGCGAUCUCUCGGCCCAAGUCCUUGAGGUGUGUCUGCAGGGGCACGCCGUAGUACCCUAGCACUGGGGUUUCUGUGGUGAAGGAGGGCUCUGAGGGAGACAGGGAGAUGUUCUUAGGGAUUGGGGUCCCGGAGGUAUCCAACCAUGGUGGCAUCUCACUCCAAAGCUGGGGUUAGCUUGGUAGAAGCAGUGCCCACCACCCCAUGGUAGGAGUCAGUGACAGGCACAGGGAAAAGAAGCCACCUUUCCCAGCUUUGCUGGCUGUUCUCACAUCCAUCCCCAUGCUACCUUGCAAGUGAUUGGGUACCUUUCUGGCUGUGGCUCUCCUUCAGCUCUGUCAGAGCCGAGUCCAGAGAUUCAAGAGACUGCCGGUGGUACUGGGCUUGGAUUUCCAGCAGCUGCCAAACAGGGGACAAACAGCCAGUGCUCAGCUUGGCACUGUCUCCUCUCCAGAGACCCAUCCCCAGGUCACUGAUCUCAUAAGAAGAGAGCACCAAGAAAGCAAAGAUGCUGCAGGAAGAACUGCAAGGGAAAUCCCCUGGAUCUGUGGGACCAUGUCUAUAGUACCAGAUAGAAGACAAAUUAGAGAGGGGGAUGAACUGGGACAACUGCUCUAUUUGGAGGCAUCUUCUAGUGCAUGCGGUGCUCUGCUUUGGCUGGAGGGCUUGUUGCAAAUGGAGACAAGGAUGGACAUACCCCAGGAGACAAUUCAUAUGCUAAGAGGAGAACUUACUCUGAUGAAGUAGCUGGCAUAGCUGUCUUCUUUGGUGGAGAAGUGGUAAAGGUCAGCCAUGUACUCAUCCUGGGGAGACACCAAGAAGAGCAUCCUUCCCCCUCCUGCCUGGCACCCGAGGGAGAGGGGAUGCCUUCAAGAAGCCCCUCACUCAGGGAAGGUGAUGGGAGGGCAGGCUGGGGCUGCGUGAGGACCCUUCCUUACCCCUGUCACUUGUGUUUAAGUCAUAGCAGUGACCUGCUCUACCACAAGGCCCUAGAACUUCACAAGAGGAUCUCCCAGCUAUGGUAGGUUCUGACAAACAAGGCACAGAGCAAUCAAAGAGAAACAGUGUGAACGUGUAGAAGGAUGAUGGGAGUCAGUCCCCUGUCAUCCAGCACAGACCUCAGCUCAGCUGGGUCUCAGCUUGGGAGCACCCCAUGAUUUCCCUGCUCUAGCUCAUGAAGCCUCCUCUCUGCAACAGCUUAUGCUUCAAAUCCUUUACUUUUGUUCUUCCCCAGGCUUGGGGCAUCUCCCUGUUUUCACGCUGCAAGGGAGCUGGUUGCUUGUGCAGGGUAGGCUGCGCUGGCUGGCUUGCUCUUGGUGUGGGUGUCGCCUCAGAUGGAGCUGCUGGAGAAGAGCAGGUCUCCAGCCCCGGAGCUGCCCCAAGGAGAGCCACUGAUGUUCUCACCUUGCAUUGCUCCACCUUCCUCUUCACCUCCUCCUCCUCCUCCUUCAGGAUCUCCAGUUUGUUGGCAGCAGAAGAUGCCCCUGGGCCAGCUCCAGCUCCUGCGCUGUUACUGGAACUCUUGGCAGCUUGGUUCAGCCUUUGAGGUGGGAGAGAAGAAGCAACACCCACAGCCUCAUCAGUGGGAACACAGGAUGAAAUAUUAGGAAAAAAUAGUGAAAUAAGGAAAAAAUUAUUCUUAUAGUGGUGAUGCACUGGAGCAGGCUGCCCAGGGAACUGGUGAAGUCACUUUCCCUGGAGGUGUUCAAGAACCAUAUGGAUGUGGACAUGGUUAGCGGGGGUGGUGGGGAUGGGUCGAUGGCUGGACUAAAUGAUCCCAGUGAUCUUUUCCAACCUUAAUGGUUCUAUGAUUUUGUGAUUCUGUGAAUGUGGAGAGGGGGGUUGGGGACAAGUUACCACCUCUUUGGCUUCACUCCUGUCUCUGGGAGAUUUGCUCCCCAUACUGGCAGAGGGCAGUUAUCUGCUCCUCUCCUCCAACCCAGUUGGUCUCCCAUGGCCACACUGUGCUCCAUACCGGCUCUUGAUGGCAUUCCAGUCAGAAAUCAGCUUCUGGAGGGUCUUCUUGUGCUUUAGGAUGAUGGGAAGCUCCUCCUGGAAGAGAGGGGCCAGGGUGAGUGGCAAAGGCUUGGGGAUGGAACACUGCAGCUGGGGAUUGGCCAUGGCUACCUCACUGAGCUUGUUGAGUGGUUGCAGGACGUCGCGCUCUACAGCGAUCUCAAACUCAGCCAGGAUCUUGGCCAGCGAACUCUGGAUGCAGCAACCCAUCUCCAAGGCUCUCCUGAAAGGGAGAGAGAAGUGAAACAAGCACAGGCUGGAGCUAUGCCAGCCUCCAACCCAACAUCCCUUACCACACCUGUACCCAUGUGGGGACCCAGAGCCAGCCCCUGUCCCCCUUCUGUGCUUGGAGGCUGUCCCCUCAUCCCCCUUGAUGCUGGUGUUUUCCAUGUUCUCAGGACAGGGUUUGACAGCCUGGCUUGGAAGUGGAAGCCCCAGAGCCCAGGCAGCAGCUCAGCUAAGUUUUUGCCAUCUUUUCCCACUGGCACUUACCCAAGGCUGGACUCUGUGUCCAGUUCCUUGAAGCUCUCAGCCAUCGUUGCAGACAGAGCCAUCAAGGGUAGCUUCUUCUGCACAGAGCCAUAGGUUUGGGAAAAGAGAUGAUGAGCUGAUGUGUGGCAGCUCACUUGCCCCGAGGCAUGCCAGUGUGGGCAAGGGACAGACAGGCUCCCAAACCCACACUGGUUCCCCACAUCUCCUUCAGGUCCAGCCCCCUCUUGGCCUUGGGGCCAGAGGAAAAGCUCUCUGGAUGUCCCUUUGGCCGAAGCAAGGACACAGUUGGCUAAACAGCCUGUUAGAAAUUCUCUAGCCUUCUCCAAAACAGCAGAGGACUGUGGGACAGAUGGAGGACACUACUAAGCUCAGCCCUGCCAUGGCUUCAAGUGUAUGGCGGAAUUUAAUGUCAAGAAUAAUUUAGCCAAGCUAGGAGAAGAAAGGGUCUGCAGUACCAUGGAGAGGGCUUGGGAAAGCACAGGGCUUGCUUUCCAGACAGGAACUGGUGAGCACCAGCUGGGAAGGAGGUGGCAGGUUCAAACCAAGGAAGAGGAAGCGGUGGUGUACCCAUGCCCAGCUGCACUGUGCUGCUCCUCACCGCUGGAGUUCAGGAGAGGGCAUGGGCUUAGGGCUUUGCAAAGAUGCUAUCUAGGACUCAAAAAGCACUUUGGCCCCAGGUUUGUGGUGGCUGAGGACGUGUCCGGGGGACACUCACCACUCGCUUGUCAAUUUCAGUGCCGCAGUGUCCCUGCAGACAAGCCUGGAGCCGCUUGGACACGGUGUGAGCCGCUCGCUUGGCUGGCUCGAUCCUCUGCUCGAUCUGGGGGUGGAAAGGUGGCACCGGUGAGCCCUUCCUUGUAGCAGGGGGGGCAUGUCAGAGCAGUGCUCGCUGACACAGCUGUGCUGGAUCUGCCAGUGCUGUGCCGAAGCUGCUGUGUUGGCCCUGGAGCUGCCCUCCAGCAGAUAGGAGUGUUCCAGCCCCAUGACAAGGAGGUGCCAGUGGGGAGGAUCGCAGGUAGGGAUGGGGCACGUCCCCACGUGUGGAUGCAAGCUGGCACUCGCCUCACCUGCAGCAAAUCUUCUGUCAGGAACUCGGUUGCUUCUUGGGCUCUGUGGAGGGAGAAGAACAGGCCAUGAGAAGAAAUGGGGGAACUUCCUCCUGCAUCUCACCCUCCUCUCUUUGAGGUCCCGAUAGGAGGUGCUGGCUAUGACCCAGACCAUCCUACCCAAGGUUACAGGCAGAGCGAGCCCAGGAAGAGAGCACCAGGAAGAAGAGAAGCAGCUCCCAUCAGACUGGGCUUCAGGUGUCUCCCCAUCAGGUGUCUCCUCAUCAGACUGGGCUUCCAGCUCAGAGCACUCAGCUCAAAAUCUCCCUAUGGGACAGGGCCACUGUUCUGGUGAGAAGACUGGGGGUAAAACUUUCUCCUGACUGCCUCUUUGCUGAAGGCAAAUAUAAGGCAGAUCCUGCAGGAACCCUGUGGGUAUCUGUCUUUGCUGGGCAGAUUGCUGGAAGUUGAGGUGCCACCAGGGCUGGAGCAACAGUAACACUGUGGUAAGGUUGGAGAUGUAGACCAACACUUGCCCCCUGCAGGGCAUAAAUGAAGGCAGCUUUCUGAUUGGUUUUGCAAGCAAGCAUGCAGAGUGAAUCCUGCAAAGGAAGCUUCUGGUUUGCAGCAAAUCCUGAUCAAAACCCAAUUCAAAACCCAACACCCAAGGCCACCAAACCUCCAUGAUUCCUCCCAUAGGGGAAACUUUGCUUAGUAGACCCAUGUCCUUGCUGCUCCCUGGGAACCUCCUCUGCUGCUGCUUUAUCCCCCUGCCCAGCCACUUCACGUUUCUGUUUUCAGCUCCUGCAAGAACUGACAUGGGACAAGCUGCAGGAAACGGGGGUGGUUGGCUUGAAGGCAGCCAAAGUCAUGUGAGAUUGCAGCCCCGUGGAGGAGAGGCUCUGUGGGUGUCCACACUGCUGGCCAGAUGCAGGGCACCAGGCACCUGUCAGAAUGGACGGAGCAAGUCCCAGCUCCUCUUGGACACCGCACAGCUUAGGGCAUGUGGCUGGGGAGACCCUGCCCAGUGCCCUCAUGUCCUGGGGAAGCCAACCUCCAUAGACAGCCAGGUUGUGGAGCCCAUCCCUGGUGCCCAAUCCAACCCGCUGCCCACCCCCAGACCCUCGUGCUCCCUCUCAGCUCACAGACCCUGGAAGUAGAGAAGUCCUUACCGGCUGGUGGCGUUGGGAUGGGACAGCUGCUGCCGCAUCCGAUUGAACUGCCUCUUCAUCAUCUUGAGAGGUGAAGCUCAGUACCCCUCGGUAACACUUGGCAUGAGACGCCCACAGCCCUUCUGCUCUGCAGAGCUGCCGUUCCCCGAGCACCUCUCCCUCCUUGCUCCUUCCUUCUUCCCUGGUUCCUUCUUUUUCUUUUUGCCGGUCUGUCCCCUCCCCUGUCCCUCCCCGGGGAUGCCCUGCCUGCUUUUUCUUCCCCUCCCUUGGGCUCUCUCUCACGGUCCCUCUCUUUUUCUGAGCUUCCUUCCUGGCUGCAGAUCAGGUAAGAGCGGUUCAGGGCUCUGCUCUGCUCUGUGUUCCUGUCACCACCCCACAAAGUAUAAAUAACUUAAGCCCAGCCUUAAAGGGGAAAUAUUAUUGCAGCAAACACAUUACAGGACGGGCGCGCGCUGUUGCUGAGCCCAAGCGGGAGGCCCACGCUCUGUUUUUCACCCGCCUUGCCGUGUUUACCACCAGCUGUGGUGUGGGGGGGGGGCACUUCGGGGUGAUGCCCACCCCACGCUACCUGGUCAUCCCGGCACCCUUCUGCAGAUGGCAAAGCCAUCCCUUCCCCUGCUGCCCUCGCAAGGUUGCACGGUGACCACAAGCUGCACGUUCCCAUCCUUAGCGUCGCUCACUCUGCAGAGCUGCGCUCAGCUGAAACCACACGGUGCAACUUUUUUUUUUAUUUGCUAAAAGUAUUCCCCCACACAUUCUGCUUCCCACUCUGCAUGAUGCAAAGCUUGCCUUAUCUCUGGCUACCUGCAGCUGGGGCUUUCCUCUUCCUGCACUAAGAGCAGAGGCUAAGCUAUGUGGAACCAGCAUCCGAACAGGGAUGGGAAGUGAUCACUCCAGCUGUGCCCCAAAGCUUGGAGCUGCUGGGCUCUGCUCUUCCUUACUGGAGGGUGCAGCAGAAGCGAUGCUGGAUCCUCUGUUUGCAAGGGACGUGGCUUAGCAGGCAGUACUGCCAGGUGGAUGGUUGGACUAGGUGAUCUAAGAGGUCUUUUCCAACUUUAAUGAUUCUAAGGGGGGGACCAAGCAAGGGAACGCUGCCUGAGCAUCAUUUUGCUCUAAAACCUUCAACCAAGUGGCCACCCACGCCUGACUCCCAGCAACCAACCCCCAGCUCUGCACCAAAACCACCCUAAUAAAGCUGCUUCCGAUCAGCAGCCUCAGGGAGGAGGAAGUUUUGCUGCAAAGCCACCAGCCUGCAAACAGCCCUGCAGCCUGGGAGCAGCUCACCAUGAGCUGGGGGACACCAGCCCCUGCCCACUGCUUGCCCCAGAGAGAAGGAAACUGAGCACAGCUCAUAGCAUUGACGGGGCCUGCUCUCAAACAGGAAUUGAGAGCAGCUGGGGGACUUCCACCAUUCACUCUCCCUGCUCAUGAACCAGUGAGAUUGGAGUAGUGAGGCUUGAGAGGAGCUGGGGCAGGACAGGAGCUGGCAACGGCCCUAUGCAGGGCACACAGCUCCUCGCUGCAGUCAGGGGAAAAUGCAGUCAGAAGGCACAGCCAUCAGGAAAGAACUCUUUAUUUCCCAUAAAUACAGCAGAUUUGUCGCGCCGGGCGUUAUUUUUUUAUUUUUGUUUUCUUCCAUUUACAGAAUUUGCACUGAAAAUAUAUACAAGUCUGUUCAAGAACCAAACAAGAUCUGCAAAGAAAAAAAAAAAACCAAAAACAAAAACCCAUACAAAACCCUGAAAAGAGACCAGAAAGGGAAG
Gallus gallus (chicken) is the source of this 9348-nucleotide long non-coding RNA. RefSeq lists it as uncharacterized. The record is from RefSeq and is a predicted model, not a curated record. The transcript is spliced from 3 exons. NCBI's taxonomy places the organism in Eukaryota, Metazoa, Chordata, Aves, Galliformes, Phasianidae.